RNAcentral lists this ribosomal RNA (253 nucleotides) under uncultured bacterium. Its description in RNAcentral is "partial 16S ribosomal RNA". It matches the Rfam family "Bacterial small subunit ribosomal RNA", at positions 524 to 776 of the family's 1533-position model. The record is from RNAcentral.
GACGAACCGUGCGAACGUUGUUCGGAAUCACUGGGCUUAAAGGGCGCGUAGGCGGGCUGCUAAGUCAGGGGUGAAAGCCCACGGCUCAACCGUGGAAGUGCCUUUGAUACUGGCGGCCUGGAGGGAGGUAGGGGCGUGCGGAACUUCCGGUGGAGCGGUGAAAUGCGUAGAUAUCGGAAGGAACACCGGUGGCGAAAGCGGCGCGCUGGACCCCUCCUGACGCUGAGGCGCGAAAGCCAGGGUAGCGAACGGG